AAUUGGCUUGGCCCUUUGUGUUGUUCCCCAGCUAUUUAGGGGUACACUUUUUGGUAUUUAUUUAGCUCUAUUGUUUCCAGGGCUAUCCCCUUGUGGGCUUUGCCUGAGGGUCAUUCAGGGUUCGGAAAUGUUUUCUAUGAACCUGUUCAUUUUUCUUCCUCUUGUAACAGAAUAAACUGUUGGGUGUGACACUAUGACCAUUUUUUUUUCACUCUCAGUACCUCCUUUGCUCCAGUCACCACAUUUGCC
Molecule: non-coding RNA, 249 nt
Organism: Pelobates cultripes (western spadefoot toad)
Lineage: Eukaryota; Metazoa; Chordata; Amphibia; Anura; Pelobatidae
Source: the annotation of a GenBank genome assembly